AGUGACUAGCUAUAGGCAUCAUUUGUGUGUCACAAGUGAUGUAGUAAGGGAAAAUAAUGAUAUUACCUUAUUAAUAGUGUCGUCAAAAGCUGGUGCCAGAAGACUCGGUAAGGCCAGAGACACAAACGCUUAAUCAAAAUAAAAAGGCGUAAAGGGUACGUAGGCAGAGUUUAAUUUAUUCAAUGAUAAUAACUUAAGUCAUUCAUAUUAAUAAACUAUAGAAUCUAAUAGAGGUAAAUACAUGAUAUGUUAGGAGGAAAGAUGAUAUGUGUAGAAACUUAACGGAAAUUUCUCAAGGCGUAAGCGUCUAGCCACUAAAGAUUGACGCUGAGGAACGAAGGACUGGUGCAAGCAACAGGAUUAGAUACCCCAGUACUCAUCACUGUAAACGAUGAAUGGAAUUUUUUAGUUUUAGAACUAGAUUUGACGUUAACAUACAACCAUUCCGCCUUAUGAGUACGACUCCAAAGUUGAAAAUAAAGAAAUUAGUCGGUCUCGAAGCAAACGAAGUGAAGCAUGU
Molecule: ribosomal RNA, 520 nt
Filed under: Fragiliporia fragilis
Lineage: Eukaryota; Fungi; Basidiomycota; Agaricomycetes; Polyporales; Fragiliporiaceae
Description: SSU rRNA
Rfam family: Bacterial small subunit ribosomal RNA
Source: RNAcentral